This 442-nucleotide ribosomal RNA is filed under the name uncultured bacterium. Its description in RNAcentral is "partial 16S ribosomal RNA". It matches the Rfam family "Bacterial small subunit ribosomal RNA", at positions 338 to 795 of the family's 1533-position model. The record is from RNAcentral.
CCUACGGGAGGCAGCAGUAGGGAAUCUUUCACAAUGGGCGAAAGCCUGAUGGAGCAACGCCGCGUGCAGGAUGAAGGCCUUCGGGUUGUAAACUGCUUUUAUAAGCGAGAAAUAUGAUGGUAACUUAUGAAUAAGGAUCGGCUAACUACGUGCCAGCAGCCGCGGUCAUACGUAGGAUCCGAGCAUUAUCCGGAGUGACUGGGUGUAAAGAGUUGCGUAGGUGGCAUAAUAAGUAGCUAGUGAAAUCUGGUGGCUCAACCAUUCAGACUAUUAGCUAAACUGUUAAGCUCGAGACCGUUAGGGGUAACUGGAAUGUCUAGUGUAGGAGUGAAAUCCGUAGAUAUUAGAAGGAACACCAAUAGCGUAGGCAGGUUGCUGGGACUGUUCUGACACUAAGGCACGAAAGCGUAGGGAGCAAACGGGAUUAGAUACCCUUGUAGUC